This 500-nucleotide ribosomal RNA is filed under the name uncultured bacterium. Its description in RNAcentral is "bacterial SSU rRNA". It matches the Rfam family "Bacterial small subunit ribosomal RNA", at positions 8 to 518 of the family's 1533-position model. The record is from RNAcentral.
AGAGUUUGAUUAUGGCUCAGGAUGAACGCUGGCGGCGUGCUUAACACAUGCAAGUCGAACGGAGUUUAGAGAGCUUGCUCUUAAACUUAGUGGCGGACGGGUGAGUAACGCGUGAGCAACCUGUCCCUCACAGGGGGAUAACACAGCGAAAGUUGUACUAAUACCGCAUAAGACCACGGUAAGACAUCUUACAGGGGUCAAAGGAGCAAUCCGGUGAGGGGUGGGCUCGCGUCCGAUUAGAUAGUUGGUGAGGUAACGGCCCACCAAGUCGACGAUCGGUAGCCGACCUGAGAGGGUGAUCGGCCACAUUGGGACUGAGACACGGCCCAAACUCCUACGGGAGGCAGCAGUGGGGAAUAUUGGGCAAUGGGGGGAAACCCCUGACCCAGCAACGCCGCGUGAGGGAAGAAGGUUUUCGGAUCGUAAACCUCUGUCCUUGGUGAAGAGUAAGAGACGGUAGCCAAGGAGGAAGCCCCGGCUAACUACGUGCCAGCAGCGGC